RNAcentral lists this ribosomal RNA (192 nucleotides) under Triticum aestivum (bread wheat). Its description in RNAcentral is "partial small subunit ribosomal RNA". The record is from RNAcentral. Lineage: Eukaryota; Viridiplantae; Streptophyta; Magnoliopsida; Poales; Poaceae.
AUUUCUUUAGUCGAUAUGAAUUGUGACCUGGAUGUCGCGAAUAUAUCGAGUCUAGCCAACAAUGACACUAUGACUUUGAUUUGAUUGAUUCUUAACAAAUUAGUAAUUUUUUAAAUUUUUGAGGGCCGUUCUCUCUGUAUAAGAAAUCACUAUCACAUACGCCUGUGCAUUGCAUCGGGAGAGAUAAUUUAA